CAAGACGUAGCUGUAACAAAAGCAUUCAGCUUACACCUGAAAGAUAUCUGCAACACUACACAAAUCGCCUUGA
RNAcentral lists this transfer RNA (73 nucleotides) under Apus affinis (little swift). RNAcentral's name for it is "tRNA-Val". The record is from RNAcentral. Lineage: Eukaryota; Metazoa; Chordata; Aves; Apodiformes; Apodidae.